This 256-nucleotide ribosomal RNA is filed under the name uncultured bacterium. RNAcentral's name for it is "partial 16S ribosomal RNA". It matches the Rfam family "Bacterial small subunit ribosomal RNA", at positions 521 to 776 of the family's 1533-position model. The record is from RNAcentral.
UAAUACGUAGGGUCCAAGCGUUAAUCGGAAUUACUGGGCGUAAAGCGUGCGCAGGUGGUUUGUUAAGCACGAUGUGAAAUCCCCGAGCUCAACUUGGGAAUUGCAUUGUGAACUGGCUAACUAGAGUACGGCAGAGGGGGGUGGAAUUCCACGUGUAGCAGUGAAAUGCGUAGAGAUGUGGAGGAACACCGAUGGCGAAGGCAACCCCCUGGGCUGAUACUGACACUCAUGCACGAAAGCGUGGGGAGCAAACAGG